This is a long non-coding RNA of Neofelis nebulosa (Clouded leopard), 494 nucleotides long. RefSeq lists it as uncharacterized. The record is from RefSeq and is a predicted model, not a curated record. NCBI's taxonomy places the organism in Eukaryota, Metazoa, Chordata, Mammalia, Carnivora, Felidae. The transcript is spliced from 4 exons.
CUUCCUGACCAGGAGCCAAUCAGCGGGCCCGCGCGGAGGUAUAGGCACCGGGGGUGGGUAGGGGUGCUUCGCUUCCGGUGGCAGGGCCUGGGGAAGGGGUGGCAGGCGCCAUGUCCGGCCGCGAAGGUGGCAAGAAGAAGCCCCUGAAGCAGCCCAAGAAGCAGGCCAAGGAGAUGGACGAGGAAGAUAAGGCAUUCAAGCAGAAACAGAAAGAGGAGCAGAAGAAACUCGAGGAGCUAAAAGCGAAGGCCGCGGGGAAGGGCCCCCUGGCCACAGGUGGAAUUAAGAAAUCUGGCAAAAAGUAAGCCGUCCCUUGUACCCGAGACAAUGGGGAUCUUUAAUUCCAUUCCUGUUUAAACAUCUGGAUUUCCUGCCAUAGCAUCUGUUGCCACCUAUAGAUAGAAUGAAGUGUUGUCUUAGAUCCUGUUGUACAGUUAAGAAUAAACUUUUGUAAAAAAAUAAUAAUAAUAAAAUCAGUGGCUCAUGUUCUCUUA